UGAUAUAUUUUAUUAUUCCUGAAAUAAUAAAAAAAUAGAGCCUGCCGACAUCCGUCAGGCUCUACAGUACACACAGCAGCGCUUCCUUUCGUUAUUUUAUGCAAGUUCAUCCCUGCAUCUUAAAUAUAGUUAUAGCUGCCCUUCAUUAUCUUUCCACUAUUAAUUGGUGAUUAAUUUCA
This 179-nucleotide small RNA is filed under the name Enterobacter sp. AG5470. RNAcentral describes it as "IS061 RNA". The record is from RNAcentral. Lineage: Bacteria; Pseudomonadati; Pseudomonadota; Gammaproteobacteria; Enterobacterales; Enterobacteriaceae.